AGGAAGAAUCUGGAGACAGGUGCUGCAUGGCUGUCGUCAGCUCGUGUCGUGAGAUGUGGGUUAAGUCCCGCAACGAGCGCAACCCUUGCCUUUAAUUGCCAGCAUUCAGUUGGGCACUUUAAAGAGACUGCCGGUGUUAAACCGGAGGAAGGUGGGAUGACGUCAAGUCCUCAUGGCCUUUAUGCUUAGGGCUACACACGUGCUACAAUGGGUGGUACAAAGAGAAGCCAACUCGCGAGAGCGCGCCAAUCUCAAAAAGCCAUCCUCAGUUCGGAUUGGAGUCUGCAACUCGACUCCAUGAAGUUGGAAUCGCUAGUAAUCGCGGAUCAGCAUGCCGCGGUCGAAUACGUUCCGGGCCUU
RNAcentral lists this ribosomal RNA (360 nucleotides) under uncultured Smithella sp. RNAcentral's name for it is "bacterial SSU rRNA". It matches the Rfam family "Bacterial small subunit ribosomal RNA", at positions 1019 to 1382 of the family's 1533-position model. The record is from RNAcentral. Lineage: Bacteria; Pseudomonadati; Thermodesulfobacteriota; Syntrophia; Syntrophales; Smithellaceae.